Molecule: ribosomal RNA, 906 nt
Filed under: uncultured bacterium
Lineage: Bacteria
Description: bacterial SSU rRNA
Rfam family: Bacterial small subunit ribosomal RNA
Source: RNAcentral
ACGCUGACAGAAUGCUUAACACAUGCAAGUCUUUGGCGAAGCUGUGCUUGCACAGCCUAGCCAAGGCGGACGGGUGAGUAACGCGUAAGGAACUUGCCCUGCAGUCAGGGAUAACAGACGGAAACGACUGAUAAGACCUGGUAAAGUCAGGCGGACUCAUGUCCAGCCUGAUGAAAAGAGAUGCUGCAGGAGAGCCUUGCGUCCUAUUAGCUUGUUGGUGGGGUAACGGCCCACCAAGGCGAUGAUAGGUAGCCGGCCUGAGAGGGUGGACGGCCACAAGGGGACUGAGAUACGGCCCUUACUCCUACGGGAGGCAGCAGUGGGGAAUAUUGGACAAUGGGGGCAACCCUGAUCCAGCAAUUCUGUGUGCACGAUGAAGGUUUUCGGAUUGUAAAGUGCUUUCAGCAGGGAAGAAAAAAAUGACGGUACCUGCAGAAGAAGCGACGGCUAAAUACGUGCCAGCAGCCGCGGUAAUACGUAUGUCGCAAGCGUUAUCCGGAAUUAUUGGGCAUAAAGGGCACCUAGGCGGCCAGAUAAGUCUGGGGUGAAAACUUGCGGCUCAACCGCAAGCCUGCCCUGGAAACUAUGUGGCUAGAGUACUGGAGAGGUGGACGGAACUGCACGAGUAGAGGUGAAAUUCGUAGAUAUGUGCAGGAAUGCCGAUGAUGAAGAUAGUUCACUGGACGGUAACUGACGCUGAAGUGCGAAAGCUAGGGGAGCAAACAGGAUUAGAUACCCUGGUAGUCCUAGCUGUAAACGAUGAUUACUGGGUGUGGGCAUGAAGAGUGUCCGUGCCGAAGCUAAUGCGAUAAGUAAUCCGCCUGGGGAGUACGGCCGCAAGGCUGAAACUCAAAGGAAUUGACGGGGACCCGCACAAGCGGUGGAGCAUGUGGUUUAAUUCGACGC